CCCGCUGAACUUAAGCAUAUCAAUAAGCGGAGGAAAAGAAACCAACAGGGAUUGCCCUAGUAACGGCGAGUGAAGCGGCAACAGCUCAAAUUUGAAAUCUGGCCCUCGGGUCCGAGUUGUAAUUCGUAGAGGAUGCUGCUGGCGCGGUGCCUUCCGAGUUCCCUGGAGACGGGACGCCUUAGAGGGUGAGAGCCCCGUACGGUUGGACACCAAGCCUCUGUAAAGCUCCUUCGACGAGUCGAGUAGUUUGGGAAUGCUGCUCUAAAUGGGAGGUAAAUUUCUUCUAAAGCUAAAUAUGGGCCAGAGACCGAUAGCGCACAAGUAGAGUGAUCGAAAGAUGAAAAGCACUUUGAAAAGAGGGUUAAAUAGCACGUGAAAUUGUUGAAAGGGAAGCGUUUGCGACCAGACUUUUUCCUAGCGGAUCAUCCGGUGUUAUCACCGGUGCACUUUGCUAGGUCAAGGCCAGCAUCGGUUUCCGUAGGGGGAUAAAAGCUUGGGGAAUGUAGCUCCCUCGGGAGUGUUAUAGCCCCUCGCAUAAUACCCUUAUGGGGACCGAGGACCGCGCUUUUUGCAAGGAUGCUGGCGUAAUGGUUGUCAACGACCCGUCUUGAAACACGG
This 618-nucleotide ribosomal RNA is filed under the name uncultured fungus. Its description in RNAcentral is "eukaryotic LSU rRNA". It matches the Rfam family "Eukaryotic large subunit ribosomal RNA", at positions 24 to 664 of the family's 3401-position model. Lineage: Eukaryota; Fungi. The record is from RNAcentral.